This 466-nucleotide ribosomal RNA is filed under the name uncultured bacterium. Its description in RNAcentral is "partial 16S ribosomal RNA". It matches the Rfam family "Bacterial small subunit ribosomal RNA", at positions 28 to 507 of the family's 1533-position model. The record is from RNAcentral.
GAUGAACGCUGGCGGCGUGCUUAACACAUGCAAGUCGAACGGAAAGGCGCCUGCUUGCAGGGGUACUCGAGUGGCGAAGGGGGGAGUAACACGUGGGUGGUCUGCACAGAACUUAGGGAUAAGCCUGGGAAACUGGGGAUAAUACCGGAGAGGACGAAGGUAUGGAUGCGAUUGUGGAAAGUUUUUUCGGUGUGGGAUGAGCUAGCGGCCUAUCAGCUUGGUGGUGGGGUAAUGGCCUACCAAGGCGUCGACGGGUAGCCGGCCUGGGAGGGUGUACGGCCACAUUGGGACUGAGGUACGGCCCAGACUCCUACGGGAGGCAGCAGUGGGGAAUUUUGCACAAUGGGCGCACGCCUGUUGCAGCGACGCCGCGUGGGGGAUGACGGCCUUCGGGUUGUAAACUCCUUUCUCUGGGGACGAAGCGCUCGUGACGGUACCUGGAGAAGAAGCACCGGCUAACUACGUG